RNAcentral lists this ribosomal RNA (580 nucleotides) under Salmonella enterica subsp. enterica serovar Heidelberg. Its description in RNAcentral is "partial 23S ribosomal RNA". It matches the Rfam family "Bacterial large subunit ribosomal RNA", at positions 2224 to 2803 of the family's 2925-position model. The record is from RNAcentral. Lineage: Bacteria; Pseudomonadati; Pseudomonadota; Gammaproteobacteria; Enterobacterales; Enterobacteriaceae.
AACGUGGACCCGUUACCCGGGUUGCGGACAGUGUCUGGUGGGUAGUUUGACUGGGGCGGUCUCCUCCUAAAGAGUAACGGAGGAGCACGAAGGUUGGCUAAUCCUGGUCGGACAUCAGGAGGUUAGUGCAAUGGCAUAAGCCAGCUUGACUGCGAGCGUGACGGCGCGAGCAGGUGCGAAAGCAGGUCAUAGUGAUCCGGUGGUUCUGAAUGGAAGGGCCAUCGCUCAACGGAUAAAAGGUACUCCGGGGAUAACAGGCUGAUACCGCCCAAGAGUUCAUAUCGACGGCGGUGUUUGGCACCUCGAUGUCGGCUCAUCACAUCCUGGGGCUGAAGUAGGUCCCAAGGGUAUGGCUGUUCGCCAUUUAAAGUGGUACGCGAGCUGGGUUUAGAACGUCGUGAGACAGUUCGGUCCCUAUCUGCCGUGGGCGCUGGAGAACUGAGGGGGGCUGCUCCUAGUACGAGAGGACCGGAGUGGACGCAUCACUGGUGUUCGGGUUGUCAUGCCAAUGGCACUGCCCGGUAGCUAAAUGCGGAAGAGAUAAGUGCUGAAAGCAUCUAAGCACGAAACUUGCCCCGAG